GAUGAACGCUGGCGGCGUGCUUAACACAUGCAAGUCGAACGGGAAACAUUUUAUUGAAGCUUCGGCGGAUUUAGCUUGUUUCUAGUGGCGGACGGGUGAGUAACGCGUGGGUAACCUGCCUUAUACCGGGGGAUAACAGCCAGAAAUGGCUGCUAAUACCGCAUAAGCUCACGUAGCCGCAUGGCUCUGUGUGAAAAACUCCGGUGGUAUAAGAUGGACCCGGGUUGGAUUGGCUAGUUGGCAGGGCAGCGGCCUACCAAGGCGACGAUCCAUAGCCGGCCUGAGAGGGUGAACGGCCACAUUGGGACUGAGACACGGCCCAGACUCCUACGGGAGGCAGCAGUGGGGAAUAUUGCACAAUGGGGGAAACCCUGAUGCAGCGACGCCGCGUGAAGGAAGAAGUAUCUCGGUAUGUAAACUUCUAUCAGCAGGGAAGAUAAUGACGGUACCUGACUAAGAAGCCCCGGCUAACUACGUGCCAGCAGCCGCCGUAA
This 494-nucleotide ribosomal RNA is filed under the name uncultured bacterium. RNAcentral describes it as "partial 16S ribosomal RNA". It matches the Rfam family "Bacterial small subunit ribosomal RNA", at positions 28 to 523 of the family's 1533-position model. The record is from RNAcentral.